AAGGCCCUGCUUUUGUGGGGUGCUCGAGUGGCGAACGGGUGAGUAACACGUGAGUAACCUGCCCUUGACUUUGGGAUAACUUCAGGAAACUGGGGCUAAUACCGGAUAGGAGCUCCUGCUGCAUGGUGGGGGUUGGAAAGUUUCGGCGGUUGGGGAUGGACUCGCGGCUUAUCAGCUUGUUGGUGGGGUAGUGGCUUACCAAGGCUUUGACGGGUAGCCGGCCUGAGAGGGUGACCGGCCACAUUGGGACUGAGAUACGGCCCAGACUCCUACGGGAGGCAGCAGUGGGGAAUAUUGCACAAUGGGCGGAAGCCUGAUGCAGCAACGCCGCGUGCGGGAUGACGGCCUUCGGGUUGUAAACCGCUUUCGCCUGUGACGAAGCGUGAGUGACGGUAAUGGGUAAAGAAGCACCGGCUAACUACGUGCCAGCAGCCGCGGUGAUACGUAGGGUGCGAGCGUUGUCCGGAUUUAUUGGGCGUAAAGGGCUCGUAGUGG
RNAcentral lists this ribosomal RNA (495 nucleotides) under Cutibacterium acnes. RNAcentral's name for it is "bacterial SSU rRNA". It matches the Rfam family "Bacterial small subunit ribosomal RNA", at positions 69 to 577 of the family's 1533-position model. Lineage: Bacteria; Bacillati; Actinomycetota; Actinomycetes; Propionibacteriales; Propionibacteriaceae. The record is from RNAcentral.